Molecule: ribosomal RNA, 336 nt
Filed under: Triticum aestivum (bread wheat)
Lineage: Eukaryota; Viridiplantae; Streptophyta; Magnoliopsida; Poales; Poaceae
Description: partial small subunit ribosomal RNA
Source: RNAcentral
AUGACAAUCUUCUGCUAUUUGAAGUCUUUCGAUGGGAAAAAUGAUAAGCCAUCUUCUCGGACGAAACUCCGCCGCCACGAGGCGGAACCUUGGCGGAACCAAUCUAGGGCUCUAGCGGAGCUGUUCUGCCGGGAAACUUCCCUCCGGGAGGGGGAAAUCAUCGCCAUCGUCAUCACCAACGCUCCUCUCAUCAGGAGAGGGCAAUCUCCAUCAACAUCUUCACUAGCACCAUCUCCUCUCAAAACCCUAGUUCAUCUCUUGUAUCCAAUUCUUGUCUCCAAGUCUGGGAUUGGUACCUGUGGGUUGCUAGUAGUGUUAAUUACUCCUUGUAGUUGA